UACGAAGGGGGCUAGCGUUGCUCGGAAUCACUGGGCGUAAAGGGUGCGUAGGCGGGUCUUUUAAGUCAGGGGUGAAAUCCUGGAGCUCAACUCUAGAACUGCCUUUGAUACUGAAGAUCUUGAGUUCGGGAGAGGUGAGUGGAACUGCGAGUGUAGAGGUGAAAUUCGUAGAUAUUCGCAAGAACACCAGUGGCGAAGGCGGCUCACUGGCCCGAUACUGACGCUGAGGCACGAAAGCGUGGGGAGCAAACAGGG
Molecule: ribosomal RNA, 255 nt
Filed under: uncultured bacterium
Lineage: Bacteria
Description: partial 16S ribosomal RNA
Rfam family: Bacterial small subunit ribosomal RNA
Source: RNAcentral